AUUGAACGCUGGCGGCAUGCCUUACACAUGCAAGUCGAACGGUAGAGGGGGCAACCCCUUGAGAGUGGCGAACGGGUGAGUAAUGCAUCGGAACGUGCCCAGUCGUGGGGGAUAACGCAGCGAAAGCUGUGCUAAUACCGCAUACGAUCUCUGGAUGAAAGCGGGGGACCUUGUAGCAAUACGGGGCCUCGCGCGAUUGGAGCGGCCGAUGUCAGAUUAGGUAGUUGGUGGGGGUAAAGGCUCACCAAGCCAACGAUCUGUAGCUGGUCUGAGAGGACGACCAGCCACACUGGGACUGAGACACGGCCCAGACUCCUACGGGAGGCAGCAGUGGGGAAUUUUGGACAAUGGGCGCAAGCCUGAUCCAGCAAUGCCGCGUGCAGGAAGAAGGCCUUCGGGUUGUAAACUGCUUUUGUACGGAACGAAAAGGUCUGGGUUAAUACCCUGGGCACAUGACGGUACCGUAAGAAUAAGCACCGGCUAACUACGUGCCAGCAGCCGCCGUAA
This 507-nucleotide ribosomal RNA is filed under the name uncultured bacterium. RNAcentral's name for it is "partial 16S ribosomal RNA". It matches the Rfam family "Bacterial small subunit ribosomal RNA", at positions 30 to 523 of the family's 1533-position model. The record is from RNAcentral.